UACGUAGGUGGCGAGCGUUGUCCGGAUUUACUGGGCGUAAAGGGAGCGUAGGCGGACUUUUAAGUGAGAUGUGAAAUACCUGGGCUUAACUUGGGUGCUGCAUUCCAAACUGUAAGUCUAGAGUGCAGGAGAGGAGAAUGGAAUUCCUAGUGUAGCGGUGAAAUGCGUAGAGAUUAGGAAGAACACCAGUGGCGAAGGCGAUUCUCUGGACUGUAACUGACGCUGAGGCUCGAAAGCGUGGGGAGCAAACAGGAUUAGAUACCCU
Molecule: ribosomal RNA, 265 nt
Filed under: uncultured prokaryote
Description: partial 16S ribosomal RNA
Rfam family: Bacterial small subunit ribosomal RNA
Source: RNAcentral